UGCACAGCUGCAAACGCGAUCCCACGCCCGGGAAAGCUCCAGCUCCGCGACGCCCCCCGCUGCCCCGCGGACCCGUGCUUCGGGGGUUGAGCAGCCUCAGCACUGUGAACUGAAUAAUUAACUAGGUUCAGCUAUGUCUCCGCAAGUCACCUGGGAAGAAUGUGCACAGAGAUGUCAAAAACCAUUUGUGAAAGUGGAUAUGUGAAGGCCGGGCGCCGGUGGCUCACACCUGUAAUCCUAGCUACUCAGGAAGC
Dipodomys spectabilis (banner-tailed kangaroo rat) is the source of this 254-nucleotide long non-coding RNA. RefSeq lists it as uncharacterized. Lineage: Eukaryota; Metazoa; Chordata; Mammalia; Rodentia; Heteromyidae. The transcript is spliced from 3 exons. The record is from RefSeq and is a predicted model, not a curated record.